AUUGAACGCUGGCGGCAUGCCUUACACAUGCAAGUCGAACGGCAGCACGGGUGCUUGCACCUGGUGGCGAGUGGCGAACGGGUGAGUAAUACAUCGGAACAUGUCCUGUAGUGGGGGAUAGCCCGGCGAAAGCCGGAUUAAUACCGCAUACGAUCUACGGAUGAAAGCGGGGGACCUUCGGGCCUCGCGCUAUAGGGUUGGCCGAUGGCUGAUUAGCUAGGUGGUGGGGUAAAGGCCUACCAAGGCGACGAUCAGUAGCUGGUCUGAGAGGAGGACCAGCCACACUGGGACUGAGACACGGCCCAGACUCCUACGGGAGGCAGCAGUGGGGAAUUUUGGACAAUGGGCGAAAGCCUGAUCCAGCAAUGCCGCGUGUGUGAAGAAGGCCUUCGGGUUGUAAAGCACUUUUGUCCGGAAAGAAAUCCUUGGCUCUAAUACAGUCGGGGGAUGACGGUACCGGAAGAAUAAGCACCGGCUAACUACGUG
This 486-nucleotide ribosomal RNA is filed under the name uncultured bacterium. RNAcentral describes it as "partial 16S ribosomal RNA". It matches the Rfam family "Bacterial small subunit ribosomal RNA", at positions 30 to 507 of the family's 1533-position model. The record is from RNAcentral.